UUUUAGAAUUUUAGUCGGUAU
Molecule: non-coding RNA, 21 nt
Filed under: Caenorhabditis elegans
Lineage: Eukaryota; Metazoa; Nematoda; Chromadorea; Rhabditida; Rhabditidae
Source: RNAcentral